CAGCAUCACUAAUCAUCAGGAAAAUGCAAAUCAGUACCAAUGUCCAACUGCAUGCAAGAACAGUCUAGAGAGACUAUGACAGCUCAAGUCACCAUAAAACCUGCCGUGGCCAUUCGCCUUUCCAAUAAUA
This is a small nucleolar RNA of Pteronotus mesoamericanus, 130 nucleotides long. RefSeq annotates it as small nucleolar RNA SNORA44. Lineage: Eukaryota; Metazoa; Chordata; Mammalia; Chiroptera; Mormoopidae. The transcript has a single exon. The record is from RefSeq and is a predicted model, not a curated record.